RNAcentral lists this ribosomal RNA (460 nucleotides) under uncultured bacterium. RNAcentral describes it as "partial 16S ribosomal RNA". It matches the Rfam family "Bacterial small subunit ribosomal RNA", at positions 338 to 795 of the family's 1533-position model. The record is from RNAcentral.
CCUACGGGUGGCAGCAGUGAGGAAUAUUGGUCAAUGGACGAGAGUCUGAACCAGCCAAGUAGCGUGAAGGAUGACUGCCCUAUGGGUUGUAAACUUCUUUUAUAUGGGAAUAAAAUGUUCCACGUGUGGGAUUUUGUAUGUACCAUAUGAAUAAGGAUCGGCUAACUCCGUGCCAGCAGCCGCGGUAAUACGGAGGAUCCGAGCGUUAUCCGGAUUUAUUGGGUUUAAAGGGAGCGUAGGUGGAUUGUUAAGUCAGUUGUGAAAGUUUGCGGCUCAACCGUAAAAUUGCAGUUGAAACUGGCAGUCUUGAGUACAGUAGAGGUGAGCGGAAUUCGUGGUGUAGCGGUGAAAUGCUUAGAUAGCACGAAGAACUCCGAUUGCGAAGGCAGUUCACUGGACUGCAACUGACACUGAGGCUCGAAAGUGUGGGUAUCAAACAGGAUUAGAUACCCCAGUAGUC